CACUCCUGUCUAACUCACUGUCUGCUCCUUCUCAAGUCAAUUCUGCAGGCACAGGAGGGGCAGCAUGGAAGGAGCUAGGGACUCAUUGUAUAACCUUAGUAGGUCUGGAGUGCACUAGGUAGGCCAGGGUGGCCUUGAACUUGUAGCCAUUCUCUUGUUUCUUGCCUUUGUUUCCCAAGCACUGAGAUUACAGGGAUGUGACAUUACACUCAGCUUGGUUUUCUGCUUCCUUUUCAAGGGACCUUGAAAGUUUGACAAAAACUUGAAGGUUAAAAAUCUUUAUUCCUAAGCAAUGAUGAGAUCAGCUUCUGUUCUCACAGUUGAAACCAAAAGAAAUGAUCUACUUUUGUUAAAUACCACAGUUACUUUAACAAAAAAACAAAACAAGCAAACAAACAAAACCACUCCUCAGGAUUUCAUGGAGGCUUUUUGUAAUUGAUCAAAUAUAAUGGUAUUAUAAAUAUUAUUUGUCCCUUCCAAUAUUUUUCUCAUUAGCAGUUAAUAAUUUAUUGGAUACCUGCUGUUUACCACAUCUUUUUACUGGGCGAUGUUAGACUGAUGACCUCUGCCAUAACUUCUUAUGGCCCUUGAAUGGUGAAUUGUCAAGUAUCUGAGAAAUAUGCUGUAGGCCGCACUCUCAACUUGCUGAGGAAGUAGCCUUCAUGGUCUGCCAACUCGUUAUUGUGUCUCGUGGCCUCGCAGAGUCCGAUGCAGCAUGUGGGCUCUGCCUGCACCCAAUCUUAGCAAAUGGAGAAAAGAGCAAGAAUAUCUAUGACCGUGGUGGUCAGGUAAAACCUGACAGUGAGACUGCGUUGGCUACAGAAACAAACAGAGCCCUGCUCAGACCCUAAGAAACCCACAGCAGUAAACAGAAAAUGACUGCAAAGGAGCCUUCUGGGAGGGACUGACUCUCACCUGUGAUGGGCAGCUACGCCGGCACCAUCAACGGAGACGGAGAGACCCCUGAGACUUAUACAUGCCAGGACAGCGCUUCCACUGAGCCUCCCCCAAUCACUGAAAUGAGUCUUAUAAAGCACCGGAAGAGCAGGAGCGCCACGGGUGGGUCUUACGUCACAGACCCUAUGACAAGAAAAUGGGUUACGCAGCAUUUGCGCAUCCAUCUGUGAAGGUGGCUGGCGGUUAGGCUCCUCUACAACUUUCCCGAGUGUCAUCAAGUUUACCUAUGACGACUUGGGUGUGCUUGUGAACUUUCAGCUUUGAACAUGGGGGCUCCCAGGAAGGAGCAGAAGCGGACAUGGAAGGAGGAGAGAGGAAGGCGGAAGUGAUGUGAUUAUAUUUUAAUUAAAAUGUAUUAAAGAUAAAACUA
Long non-coding RNA from Mus musculus (house mouse), 1327 nucleotides. RefSeq annotates it as predicted gene, 35172. Lineage: Eukaryota; Metazoa; Chordata; Mammalia; Rodentia; Muridae. The record is from RefSeq and is a predicted model, not a curated record. The transcript has 3 exons.